CCCGGAGGGUGUGUGUGUUGGGGGGGGGGGCGCGCUCAGGAUUUGCGCCGAUUCCGCGAGGAGCGAGAUCCGCGCAGGCGCGCUGGUGCGGAGCCAUCGAGGCGCUUGGUAGUGGGGAGGUAACGGCAGGCACUUGGAAGACUUCUUGAUCCUUUCGCCAUGAAUAUAACCAAAGGUGGCCUUGUGCUGUUCAGUGCCAAUUCAAAUACAGCCUACACAGAGUUAGCCAGGAAGAUUUCAGAGCGACUUGGCGUAGAACCUGGUAAAGUUCAAGUCUACCAAGAAGCUAACAGAGAAACAAGAGUACAAAUUCAAGAAUCUGUCAGAGGAAAAGAUGUGUUUAUUAUUCAGACUGUUUCAAAGGAUGUCAACACCACCAUUAUGGAGCUCCUUAUUAUGAUCUAUGCCUCUAAGACCUCUUGUGCCAAGAACAUCAUUGGUGUAAUCCCUUACUUUCCGUACAGCAAGCAAUGUAAGAUGAGGAAACGAGGUUCUAUUGUAUCCAAACUUCUGGCAUCAAUGAUGUGUAAAGCUGGCUUGACUCACCUGAUUACAAUGGAUUUGCAUCAGAAAGAAAUCCAGGGAUUUUUCAAUAUUCCAGUUGAUAAUCUGCGAGCGUCCCCAUUCCUGUUACAAUACAUUCAGGAAGAGAUCCCUGACUACAGGAAUGCAGUGAUUGUUGCAAAGUCACCAGCAUCUGCCAAAAGAGCUCAGUCUUUUGCUGAGCGGUUGCGUCUAGGGAUCGCAGUGAUACAUGGUGAAGUGCAAGAUGCAGAAUCGGAUUUGGUAGAUGGCCGGCAUUCACCGCCAACAGUGAAAAAUGCAGCAGCCAUACAUCCCAGUCUGGAGAUUCCUAUGUCAAUUCCAAAGGAAAAACCCCCAAUCACAGUUGUUGGCGAUGUAGGAGGAAGAAUAGCUAUUAUUGUGGAUGACAUAAUUGAUGACGUUGACAGCUUUUUAGCGGCUGCUGAUACAUUGAAGGAAAGGGGAGCUUACAAAAUCUAUGUGAUGGCAACCCAUGGUCUUUUGUCUUCAGAUGCACCUAGGUUAAUAGAAGAAUCAUCAAUUGAUGAGGUGGUAGUAACCAAUACAAUUCCACAUGAAAUACAAAAACUUCAGUGCCAUAAAAUAAAGACCGUUGAUAUCAGCAUGAUCUUGUCUGAGGCCAUUCGAAGGAUCCACAAUGGUGAAUCAAUGUCUUAUCUAUUCCGAAAUAUUGGUAUGGAUGAUUGAAUGAAGGGCAACUUGGUGUCCUUUUACUUGCUGGAAAAGUAUCGUGAUUCACUGGACUGAUAAGAUCCGCCUGAAGAGAGAUUUUGCCUUUGUGCAAAAUCAUCGCCAUGGUUCCAGAUGUAUAAGGACGGUGAUCUAACAUACAUAAUCCUCCGUCUGUCGCCAAAACAUUAUGACAAAAUCCAAAAAUAUAUGUGCUGUAAUUUAUUUUUUUAGAUUUUGAUGUGUGUUCACAAACAAUGUAUAUUUAUAAUCAAAUACUUAGCAUCAUAAGUGAUUGUAGUGCCAUUUGAGAUAGCUGCGAAAGGCUUUGUGCACUUGUCAAUCUGUUGCUUCACGAAAGGUACUGAGUUUUGUUCUUUUUCUGAAUUUAAAAUAAUUAAAUGUUUAAAAUUGCUAAAUUGCAAUGUCCUUUUGUUUCCUUUAGAACUAUAUUUUUUAUUUUGAAAGCCUUAAUGGCUAGAAUUGCAAGUUAGUUUGUUUAAAUACAAUUGUCACCAAAACAAUUGGCUGAGUGAGAACUCUGGCAUUAAUUUUCAAUUGUUAGAAUAAUUCAGUUGCCUUAGACAUCAUGACAAAUUGUAAAAUUGUCAUAUUCUGCAUCAGAAUUGUGUAUCCACAAUGUAAUGAAUCUCAUUGUAACUUGCAGUUCCAUGAUUUCAUUUCUUCAUCGUAUGAAAGUAAAUACAUUUCUUUCCAAUUCCUUUGCCCUGUAUAUUGUUUGAGAACUGUAUCCUGAAGUUAUGCUGCUUGAGUUCAUUGAUCAUGCAUUCACACACGAAUUUCUUCCAAUAAAGAUGCUUCUUAAAGGAAA
This is an RNA transcript of Hypanus sabinus (Atlantic stingray), 2047 nucleotides long. It is a transcript of the gene named phosphoribosyl pyrophosphate synthetase-associated protein 2, with no coding region annotated. Lineage: Eukaryota; Metazoa; Chordata; Chondrichthyes; Myliobatiformes; Dasyatidae. The record is from RefSeq and is a predicted model, not a curated record. The transcript has 12 exons.